Molecule: unclassified non-coding RNA, 312 nt
Filed under: Bombus terrestris (buff-tailed bumblebee)
Lineage: Eukaryota; Metazoa; Arthropoda; Insecta; Hymenoptera; Apidae
Description: misc RNA ENSBTSG00005021262.1
Source: RNAcentral
UUUAAUCGAAAUGAUGUUAAGUUGUUAGGUUAGGUUCAGAUCGAAUGACAAUUCUGAUCAGAUCGAUGUUCACUUGGGUCAAGUUUGCGCCAAGUUAAUAUUGAGUUGGGUUAGGUUUGUGUUAAAUUACGGUUAAGUCAGGUAAAUCUGGGCCAGGUUAGGUCAAUAUUAUGGUUGGAAUAGAUUUACCAGGUAUGCUGUUACACUGGUAUCGAGAUUAGUCUUCGAUCAGAUUAAGUUAAUACAUAAUCUGUAUUCGGUACAUCGAGCUGCGAGCUUAACACACAGGAAAACAUGUGGGCACAUUCAUUU